UUUCAAAAAAAAAAAAAUUAUGCAUAGCUUUACACGCUUCUAACCCUAUUACAUUCCAACUCUUUUGGUAAAACAUGCCCGAGAAGCCAUGAGGGCCAAGGGCUUUGUCUAGCCCUAACUGAAAAACAACUCUUCAAAUCUCAGCAUUUGAGAUGGAAGCAUUGAGAAUCUCAUUCAUUUUUGGAGUGACCACAGUAGGGAGCAAAUUAAAA
This 212-nucleotide unclassified non-coding RNA is filed under the name Hevea brasiliensis (rubber tree). Lineage: Eukaryota; Viridiplantae; Streptophyta; Magnoliopsida; Malpighiales; Euphorbiaceae. The record is from RNAcentral.